UACGAAGGGGGCUAGCGUUGCUCGGAAUUACUGGGCGUAAAGGGCGCGUAGGCGGCCUGCUAAGUCGGACGUGAAAUCCCUCGGCUCAACCGAGGAACUGCGUCCGAUACUGGUGGGCUUGAAUCCGGGAGAGGGAUGUGGAAUUCCAGGUGUAGCGGUGAAAUGCGUAGAUAUCUGGAGGAACACCGGUGGCGAAGGCGGCAUCCUGGACCGGUAUUGACGCUGAGGCGCGAAAGCUAAGGGGAGCAAACGGGG
This 255-nucleotide ribosomal RNA is filed under the name uncultured bacterium. RNAcentral describes it as "partial 16S ribosomal RNA". It matches the Rfam family "Bacterial small subunit ribosomal RNA", at positions 524 to 777 of the family's 1533-position model. The record is from RNAcentral.